GACGAACGCUGGCGGCGUGCUUAACACAUGCAAGUCGAACGGUGAAGGGACUGGUUUUGCUGGUCCUGGAUGAGUGGCGAACGGGUGAGUAACACGUGAGUAACCUGCCCCCUUCUUCUGGAUAACCGCAUGAAAGUGUGGCUAAUACGGGAUAUUCUGGGUCUGUCGCAUGGUGGGCCUGGGAAAGAUUGCGCCUUUUUUGGUGUUUUUGGUGGGGGAUGGGCUCGCGGCCUAUCAGCUUGUUGGUGGGGUGAUGGCCUACCAAGGCGGUGACGGGUAGCCGGCCUGAGAGGGUGGACGGUCACACUGGGACUGAGACACGGCCCAGACUCCUACGGGAGGCAGCAGUGGGGAAUAUUGCACAAUGGGCGCAAUCCUGAUGCAGCGACGCCGCGUGAGGGAUGGAGGCCUUCGGGUUGUGAACCUCUUUCGCCAGUGAAGCAGGCCUGCCUCUUUUUGUGGGUGGGUUGACGGUAGCUGGAUAAGAAGCGCCGGCUAACUACGUG
This 506-nucleotide ribosomal RNA is filed under the name uncultured bacterium. RNAcentral describes it as "partial 16S ribosomal RNA". It matches the Rfam family "Bacterial small subunit ribosomal RNA", at positions 28 to 507 of the family's 1533-position model. The record is from RNAcentral.